Poecilia latipinna (sailfin molly) is the source of this 455-nucleotide non-coding RNA. The record is from the annotation of a RefSeq genome assembly. NCBI's taxonomy places the organism in Eukaryota, Metazoa, Chordata, Actinopteri, Cyprinodontiformes, Poeciliidae.
AGAGAAAAGAUACAGAGUUCAACAUGAUGAACUGCAGGACUUCACUGCUGCUCUUAGCUGUCUGCUGGACAGGUGUUGGUGGUCAGACUCUGACAGAAUCUGAACCAGUGACUAAAAGACCUGGAGAAUCUCACACCCUGACCUGUACGGCCUCUGGGUUCACGCUUAGCAGCUAUUACAUGGCUUGGGUCAGACAGGCGCCUGGAAGAGGACUGGAAUGGAUCGCCUACAUAGGCACCUACAGUUCUCCAAUAUCUUACUCCCAAUCAGUCCAGGGAAGAUUCAUCAUCUCCAGAGAUGACUCCAACAGUAAAAUCUAUCUGAAGAUGAACCAGCUGAAAGCUGAGGACACAGCUGUGUAUUACUGUGCUAGAGAGGCACAGUGACACAGGGAAGCAGGAGGUUCAUACAAAAACUUCCUCCAUCUGCCACUUCCUCUGCAGACCUUCUGCUCA